UCUCAUAAACCGUGGCUCAGUUCAGAUCGUAGGCUGCAACUCGCCUACGUGAAGGAGGAAUCGCUAGUAAUCGCAGGUCAGCAUACUGCGGUGAAUACGUUCCCGGGCCUUGUACACACCGCCCGUCACACCAUGGAAGUUGGCCACGCCCGAAGUCGUUACUCCAACCCUCUGGGAGGAGGACGCCGAAGGUGGGGCUGAUGACUGGGGUGAAGUCGUAACAAGGUAGCCGUACCGGAAGGUGCGGCUGGAUCACCUCCUAA
RNAcentral lists this ribosomal RNA (263 nucleotides) under uncultured Synechococcus sp. RNAcentral describes it as "partial 16S ribosomal RNA". It matches the Rfam family "Bacterial small subunit ribosomal RNA", at positions 1272 to 1533 of the family's 1533-position model. Lineage: Bacteria; Bacillati; Cyanobacteriota; Cyanophyceae; Synechococcales; Synechococcaceae. The record is from RNAcentral.